RNAcentral lists this ribosomal RNA (832 nucleotides) under uncultured archaeon. Its description in RNAcentral is "bacterial SSU rRNA". It matches the Rfam family "Archaeal small subunit ribosomal RNA", at positions 41 to 878 of the family's 1478-position model. The record is from RNAcentral.
CGACUAAGCCAUGCAAGUCGAAUGUAGCAAUACAUGGCGUACUGCUCAGUAACACGUGGACAACCUGCCCUUAGGACGGGUAUAAACCCGGGAAACUGGGUAUAAUUCCCGAUAGAUCUCGUCUGCUGGAAUGCAUCGAGAUCCAAAGCUCCGGCGCCUAAGGAUGGGUCUGCGGCCUAUCAGGUAGUAGUGGGUGUAGCGUACCUACUAGCCUACGACGGGUACGGGUUGUGAGAGCAAGAGCCCGGAGAUGGAUUCUGAGACACGAAUCCAGGCCCUACGGGGUGCAGCAGGCGCGAAAACUUUACAAUGCUGGGAACAGCGGUAAGGGAACCUCGAGUGCCAGGUUACAAAUCUGGCUGUCGUGAUGCCUAAAAAGCAUUAUAUAGCAAGGGCCGGGCAAGACCGGUGCCAGCCGCCGCGGUAACACCGGCGGCUCGAGUGGUAACCGUUAUUAUUGGGUCUAAAGGGUCUGUAGCCGGCCGGAUAAGUCUCUUGGGAAAUCUGGCAGCUCAACUGUCAGGCUUUCAGGGGAUACUGUCUGGCUCGAGGCCGGGAGAGGUGAGAGGUACUUCAGGGGUAGGGGUGAAAUCUUGUAAUCCUUGAAGGACCACCAGUGGCGAAGGCGUCUCACCAGAACGGACCUGACGGCAAGGGACGAAAGCUAGGGGCACGAACCGGAUUAGAUACCCGGGUAGUCCUAGCCGUAAACGAUACUCGCUAGGUGUCGGCCACGGUGCGACCGUUGUCGGCGCCGUAGGGAAGCCGUGAAGCGAGCCACCUGGGAAGUACGGCCGCAAGGCUGAAACUUAAAGGAAUUGGCGGGGGAGCA